RNAcentral lists this ribosomal RNA (300 nucleotides) under uncultured bacterium. RNAcentral's name for it is "bacterial SSU rRNA". It matches the Rfam family "Bacterial small subunit ribosomal RNA", at positions 29 to 355 of the family's 1533-position model. The record is from RNAcentral.
AACGAACGCUGGCGGCAUGCCUAACACAUGCAAGUCGAACGAGACCUUCGGGUCUAGUGGCGCACGGGUGCGUAACGCGUGGGAAUCUGCCCUUGGGUCCGGAAUAACUCAGAGAAAUUUGAGCUAAGUACCGGAUGAUGACGUAAGUCCAAAGAUUUAUCGCCCAGGGAUGAGCCCGCGUAGGAUUAGCUAGUUGGUGAGGUAAAGGCUCACCAAGGCGACGAUCCUUAGCUGGUCUGAGAGGAUGAUCAGCCACACUGGGACUGAGACACGGCCCAGACUCCUACGGGAGGCAGCAGU